This 468-nucleotide ribosomal RNA is filed under the name uncultured bacterium. RNAcentral's name for it is "partial 16S ribosomal RNA". It matches the Rfam family "Bacterial small subunit ribosomal RNA", at positions 28 to 507 of the family's 1533-position model. The record is from RNAcentral.
GACGAACGCUGGCGGCGUGCUUAACACAUGCAAGUCGAACGGAAAGGCCCUGCUUUUGUGGGGUGCUCGAGUGGCGAACGGGUGAGUAACACGUGAGUAACCUGCCCUUGACUUUGGGAUAACUUCAGGAAACUGGUGCUAAUACCGGAUAGGAGCUCCUGCUGCAUGGUGGGGGUUGGAAAGUUUCGGCGGUUGGGGAUGGACUCGCGGCUUAUCAGCUUGUUGGUGGGGUAGUGGCUUACCAAGGCUUUGACGGGUAGCCGGCCUGAGAGGGUGACCGGCCACAUUGGGACUGAGAUACGGCCCAGACUCCUACGGGAGGCAGCAGUGGGGAAUAUUGCACCAUGGGCGGAAGCCUGAUGCAGCAACGCCGCGUGCGGGAUGACGGCCUUCGGGUUGUAAACCGCUUUCGCCUGUGACGAAGCGUGAGUGACGGUAAUGGGUAAAGAAGCACCGGCUAACUACGUG